RNAcentral lists this small nucleolar RNA (135 nucleotides) under Chinchilla lanigera (long-tailed chinchilla). RNAcentral's name for it is "Small nucleolar RNA SNORA5 (ENSCLAG00000019923.1)". It matches the Rfam family "Small nucleolar RNA SNORA5". From Rfam's summary of the family: ACA5 is a member of the H/ACA class of snoRNA that guide the sites of modification of uridines to pseudouridines. The record is from Rfam by way of RNAcentral. Lineage: Eukaryota; Metazoa; Chordata; Mammalia; Rodentia; Chinchillidae.
UACAGUCACGUGAAAUUCAGCCCUCAUUUCACCAUGCUGUGGUCUGACCCAGAUGGCUGCCACAGCAAGCUCUGCCGCUUAUGGACUCUGAGUCCUCUGCCUGGGACCUGGGGAUAAAUUUGGCUGUAGACACUG